UACGUAGGGUGCGAGCGUUGUUCGGAAUCACUGGGCGUAAAGCGCGUGUAGGCGGCCUUGUAAGUUUGGUGUGAAAGCCCGGGGCUUACCCCCGGAAGUGCACUGGAGACUGCAAGGCUAGAGUACCGGAGAGGAAAGUGGAAUUCCUGGUGUAGCGGUGAAAUGCGUAGAUAUCUGGAGGAACACCGGUGGCGAAGGCGGCAUCCUGGACCGGUAUUGACGCUGAGAAACGAAAGCCAGGGUAGCAAACGGG
Molecule: ribosomal RNA, 253 nt
Filed under: uncultured bacterium
Lineage: Bacteria
Description: partial 16S ribosomal RNA
Rfam family: Bacterial small subunit ribosomal RNA
Source: RNAcentral